Molecule: ribosomal RNA, 1330 nt
Filed under: uncultured bacterium
Lineage: Bacteria
Description: bacterial SSU rRNA
Rfam family: Bacterial small subunit ribosomal RNA
Source: RNAcentral
GGUCAGGGAGGAACGCUGACGGCGUGCCUAAUACAUGCAAGUCGAGCGAACAGAUGAGAAGCUUGCUUCUCUGAUGUUAGCGGCGGACGGGUGAGUAACACGUGGGUAACCUACCUAUAAGACUGGGAUAACUCCGGGAAACCGGGGCUAAUACCGGAUAAUAUAUUGAACCGCAUGGUUCAAUGUUGAAAGACGGUUUCGGCUGUCACUUAUAGAUGGACCCGCGCCGUAUUAGCUAGUUGGUAAGGUAACGGCUUACCAAGGCAACGAUACGUAGCCGACCUGAGAGGGUGAUCGGCCACACUGGAACUGAGACACGGUCCAGACUCCUACGGGAGGCAGCAGUAGGGAAUCUUCCGCAAUGGGCGAAAGCCUGACGGAGCAACGCCGCGUGAGUGAUGAAGGUCUUAGGAUCGUAAAACUCUGUUGUUAGGGAAGAACAAAUUUGUUAGUAACUGAACAAGUCUUGACGGUACCUAACCAGAAAGCCACGGCUAACUACGUGCCAGCAGCCGCGGUAAUACGUAGGUGGCAAGCGUUAUCCGGAAUUAUUGGGCGUAAAGCGCGCGUAGGCGGUUUCUUAAGUCUGAUGUGAAAGCCCACGGCUCAACCGUGGAGGGUCAUUGGAAACUGGGGAACUUGAGUGCAGAAGAGGAGAGUGGAAUUCCAUGUGUAGCGGUGAAAUGCGCAGAGAUAUGGAGGAACACCAGUGGCGAAGGCGGCUCUCUGGUCUGUAACUGACGCUGAUGUGCGAAAGCGUGGGGAUCAAACAGGAUUAGAUACCCUGGUAGUCCACGCCGUAAACGAUGAGUGCUAAGUGUUAGGGGGUUUCCGCCCCUUAGUGCUGCAGCUAACGCAUUAAGCACUCCGCCUGGGGAGUACGACCGCAAGGUUGAAACUCAAAGGAGAUUGACGGGGACCCCGCGCGAGCGGGGGAGCAUGUGGUUUAAUUCGAAGCAACGGGAAAGAUCCGUACCAAGUCUUGACAUCCUUUGACCGUUCUAGAGAUAGAGUUUUCCCCUUCGGGGGCCAAAGUGACAGGUGGUGCAUGGUUGUCGUCAGCUCGUGUCGUGAGAUGUUGGGUUAAGUCCCGCAACGAGCGCAACCAAUAAGCUUAGUUGCCAUCAUUAAGUUGGGCACUCUAGGUUGACUGCCGGUGACAAACCGGAGGAAGGUGGGGAUGACGUCAAAUCAUCAUGCCCCUUAUGAUUUGGGCUACACACGUGCUACAAUGGAUAAUACAAAGGGCAGCGAACCCGCGAGGUCAAGCAAAUCCCAUAAAAUUAUUCUCAGUUCGGAUUGUAGUCUGCAACUCGCCUUCAUGCAGCUG